RNAcentral lists this ribosomal RNA (725 nucleotides) under Actinomycetes bacterium. Its description in RNAcentral is "bacterial SSU rRNA". It matches the Rfam family "Bacterial small subunit ribosomal RNA", at positions 139 to 876 of the family's 1533-position model. The record is from RNAcentral. Lineage: Bacteria; Bacillati; Actinomycetota; Actinomycetes.
UGGGACAAGCCCUGGAAACGGGGUCUAAUACCGGAUAUGAGCUUCCAUCGCAUGGUGGAGGCUGUAAAGCUCCGGCGGUGCAGGAUGAGCCCGCGGCCUAUCAGCUUGUUGGUGAGGUAACGGCUCACCAAGGCGACGACGGGUAGCCGGCCUGAGAGGGCGACCGGCCACACUGGGACUGAGACACGGCCCAGACUCCUACGGGAGGCAGCAGUGGGGAAUAUUGCACAAUGGGCGAAAGCCUGAUGCAGCGACGCCGCGUGAGGGAUGACGGCCUUCGGGUUGUAAACCUCUUUCAGCAGGGAAGAAGCGAAAGUGACGGUACCUGCAGAAGAAGCGCCGGCUAACUACGUGCCAGCAGCCGCGGUAAUACGUAGGGCGCAAGCGUUGUCCGGAAUUAUUGGGCGUAAAGAGCUCGUAGGCGGCUUGUCGCGUCGGUUGUGAAAGCCCGGGGCUUAACCCCGGGUCUGCAGUCGAUACGGGCAGGCUAGAGUUCGGUAGGGGAGAUCGGAAUUCCUGGUGUAGCGGUGAAAUGCGCAGAUAUCAGGAGGAACACCGGUGGCGAAGGCGGAUCUCUGGGCCGAUACUGACGCUGAGGAGCGAAAGCGUGGGGAGCGAACAGGAUUAGAUACCCUGGUAGUCCACGCCGUAAACGGUGGGCACUAGGUGUGGGCAACAUUCCACGUUGUCCGUGCCGCAGCUAACGCAUUAAGUGCCCCGCCUGG